Oncorhynchus kisutch (coho salmon) is the source of this 2358-nucleotide long non-coding RNA. RefSeq lists it as uncharacterized. Lineage: Eukaryota; Metazoa; Chordata; Actinopteri; Salmoniformes; Salmonidae. The transcript is spliced from 4 exons. The record is from RefSeq and is a predicted model, not a curated record.
UCAGAGGCUGGGCGUGGUUUAAACUUGCUCAGCCUAUCGCAGGCUGGUCCCCGCUUCUUGGAGUCCUCCCGUCGAUUCUUGCUGUUCUGGUAUCGCAGCCUAGUUAUAACAGUUGCUCAGUUCCUGCUUAUUGUGUUCAGUAUUUUUCCAUCAGUUAAACCUCUGACCCCCCCUAUGCCUGCUUAACCACAACUUUGUAAGAGAGCAAGUCACACCAUGUGCUCUAUAUUGUUACGUACAAACACAAGGACAAAGCAUCUGCUGGGCUGUUAUCUAGGUUUGCAACAAGCAUGUUAAACACACAGGCAAGUAAAUAUAGCAAGCAGUUGCUUAAUCAUGAUGCUCACGUGCACAAAUGCAUUAACUUAACACAGCCAACAUCGGAUAAUAUAUAAUCAUGUGGUAAUGGCUAUAAUGUAAAAUGCAGAAUCCCACGCAAGGGAUGGGGUGUUUAACUUGCAGCCUUAGUAAAAAUACAACGGGUAACCUUAUCUAGCCCAUUACUCUUAAUACCUUUUACAUGGACGUGAGUAGCUAGCUCAUUACAUACUGCAUAUUUUCCCGCAAAAUGGCGGUUAGCUUGCUGCAAUGUGUUUGGGCUCCCUAGUGGCUGUUUAAGGCAUUGUAACUGCAUCGAUGCUAGAGGCGUCACCACACAAAUGAUCGGUUCCAGGCUGUAUCUCAACUGGCCGUGAUUGGGAGUCCAUAGAGCGGCGCACAAUUGGCCCAGCGUCGUUAGGGUUUGACCGGAGUAGGCCGUCAUUGUACAUUUUUAAAAAGAUUGACUUCCCUGGUUAAAAUACAAAUUGAGCAAUAAAGAUUAUGCACGUGCCAUAAAUAGCCAACAGUAGCUAGUUUAGUUUAUCACUCAGGACCGCACAUCAGAUCACAGGACAUUUGUUUACUCGAUGAGCAGACUAAUAGCCUUCGCAUUAAUUUUUGUACUCUACUGCGUUUUACUUAACGCUAGAACCGAAAUUACUUGACAAUCGUGUUGAACAGACCCAUUACCAGGCUGACAUUGCCAUUAUAUUGAGUGACGGGACAAUGCAGGGUUGAAUUUGGCCCAUGGGUGGCACUAACUGCCGGCCAAAGUGUUCUGAGCCCCCUCCCAAGAAGUCAAUACAUUUUUCUUGUUGGACAAAAUAUUUAAACACCAGGAAAUAUCACCUCCCAAAUUGUUUUUAUUGCAAAAUUCUGUUCAAGUAUUCCCAUGCGUAGGAGGUACCUGAUGGUAUACAAAUGAAAGCAAGAUUUUAAUGAUUAUUUUAGUCACAUCUGUUAGGGAUUCUUGCGGUCAAUUUGCAGUCUACAAAUGAUGUGUAAUUAUAUUUCGCCCGUUUUCUAUUUAGAUUUUCUAUUCACCAGGAUAGUGAUACGGGGGGUCCAGGCAGCCCAACAAAUUAUACUGUGAAACAAUUCCGUUUACGCUGUGCUGUGGUUUUUGGUUCGUUAACGUCACGUUUAAUUUUUCUAAAUUGCGCUGGCAUUCUACACAUGGUGUAUUAAAAAAAACAAUUGGGGGGGUUGGGCAUGCUCGACAUGGCCUUCCAGGAUGCAAUCAAAGGCACUAGAUCUAUGGACUCUCACUCCUGACACAAUGCCAGUUUUUCCUCAGACUAAGGUGUUUGUCAAUUAUGUCCAUUUUUGUUACCAUUAUCUUAAGCAGUUGAGAUGACUCCACCACCCUAGCGUCCUCAGUGUAGCGCUUCCUUUUGAUUUAGGUUGUUGCGUCAGAUCGUUUGGCAUAGUUCUGCUCAGAACCGAUGUGGACCAACAGCCUCUCGCAUGCCUUGCAGUCAUGGAGGAUUGGCUUUUUCUGCACCUCAUGUGCAAGCCAUCCGCUUACAUCGCUCAGGAUCUCAUCCUUCAAACAAUUACCAUCUGCAGCCCCUUCGGCAGUGGUGAUCUUUAUUGGGGAAAUAAUAUUUGUUACAAAUUUGUUUGUGUUAUAUUGAAGUUGUUUCCCGUUCUAAUUGCUGUAGGGUCACUGUCUGGAGCAGAGGGAAGAUGCAACUGGCGAUGUUCGGUGGAUGAUCUUCUGAGUUGGCCCGCAUCAUUAGGACUAAAGCCGGAAGCAAGAGGGGUAGGAGAAGUGGUGUCUUUGCUGUGGAUUAGUAGGUCGUCAUCUGGAUCGGUCUGGCAGUUUGUGUUACUUGCACAAGUGAAUGCAGGAGAUGAAGAGGAAGGCCCAAUAAAACAUGACAGAACAUUGGAGACUGAGCACCACCAACAACUAGCAUAAUGGUAACUGAGCUGUGCAUUCCACCUCCGUAGGCAGUUAGCCUAGCUGCAUCAUAGUUUGCAUCCCUUGAUUAUGUGUUGCAGCGGUCACUGCAUCUCAGUGCAAUAGUUGUC